Molecule: ribosomal RNA, 505 nt
Filed under: uncultured bacterium
Lineage: Bacteria
Description: partial 16S ribosomal RNA
Rfam family: Bacterial small subunit ribosomal RNA
Source: RNAcentral
GACGAACGCUGGCGGCGUGCCUAAUACAUGCAAGUAGAACGCACAGUUUAUACCGUAGCUUGCUACACCAUAGACUGUGAGUUGCGAACGGGUGAGUAACGCGUAGGUAACCUGCCUGGUAGCGGGGGAUAACUAUUGGAAACGAUAGCUAAUACCGCAUAAUAUUGAUUAUUGCAUGAUAAUUGAUUGAAAGAUGCUAUUGCAUCACUACCAGAUGGACCUGCGUUGUAUUAGCUAGUAGGUGAGGUAACGGCUCACCUAGGCGACGAUACAUAGCCGACCGGAGAGGGUGAUCGGCCAAACGGGGACUGAGACACGGCCCAGACUCAUACGGGAGGCAGCAGUAGGGAAUCUUCGGCAAUGGACGAAAGUCUGACCGAGCAACGCCGCGUGAGGGAAGAAGGUUUUCGGAUCGUAAAGCUCUGUUGUAAGAGAAGAACGGGUGUGAGAGUGGAAAGUUCACACUGUGACGGUAUCUUACCAGAAAGGGACGGCUAACUACGUG